This 735-nucleotide ribosomal RNA is filed under the name uncultured bacterium. RNAcentral's name for it is "bacterial SSU rRNA". It matches the Rfam family "Bacterial small subunit ribosomal RNA", at positions 28 to 776 of the family's 1533-position model. The record is from RNAcentral.
GACGAACGCUGGCGGCGCGCCUAACACAUGCAAGUCGAACGAGCGAGAGAGAGCUUGCUUUCUCGAGCGAGUGGCGAACGGGUGAGUAACGCGUGAGGAACCUGCCUCAAAGAGGGGGACAACAGUUGGAAACGACUGCUAAUACCGCGUAAGCCCACAGCUCGGCAUCGAGCAGAGGGAAAAGGAGCGAUCCGCUUUGAGAUGGCCUCGCGUCCGAUUAGCUAGUUGGUGAGGUAACGGCCCACCAAGGCGACGAUCGGUAGCCGGACUGAGAGGUUGAACGGCCACAUUGGGACUGAGACACGGCCCAGACUCCUACGGGAGGCAGCAGUGGGGAAUAUUGCACAAUGGGGGAAACCCUGAUGCAGCGACGCCGCGUGGAGGAAGAAGGUCUUCGGAUUGUAAACUCCUGUUGUUGAGGAAGAUAAUGACGGUACUCAACAAGGAAGUGACGGCUAACUACGUGCCAGCAGCCGCGGUAAAACGUAGGUCACAAGCGUUGUCCGGAAUUACUGGGUGUAAAGGGAGCGCAGGCGGGAAAGCAAGUUGGAAGUGAAAUCCAUGGGCUCAACCCAUGAACUGCUUUCAAAACUGUUUUUCUUGAGUAGUGCAGAGGUAGGCGGAAUUCCCGGUGUAGCGGUGGAAUGCGUAGAUAUCGGGAGGAACACCAGUGGCGAAGGCGGCCUACUGGGCACCAACUGACGCUGAGGCUCGAAAGUGUGGGUAGCAAACAGG